Molecule: non-coding RNA, 30 nt
Filed under: Rattus norvegicus (Norway rat)
Lineage: Eukaryota; Metazoa; Chordata; Mammalia; Rodentia; Muridae
Source: RNAcentral
UGCGUGUGAAUACCAGCCCAGUUCAUCAUA